GAGAGCAUCACUUAUUUACGUUACGAACACAGAGUAUUCUAGAGAGAGAGAGAGGAGGGAGAAACAGAGAGGAGGAAGGGAUAGAGUUGCCACCUGAGUAUUAGCCUCCCCGUACCACGUAAGAGAGUAGUCACCGGAAGACAUCUUGCCAUCGCCUGCAAUCAAAACAAGGAGACGAUAAACUAAUCGAAUUGAACAUGAGAGCGACUCAUCAGCUUCAGAAACCCAAAUUUUUAUAACUGACAGCGCUGCCUGCAUCAAAUAUGUCGAGCAAGCUGCUGCUGUUCUCCUUCCUCUCGCAUAAUAAAGUCACUAUGUUUCUCUCUCUAGCAUCUAUGAAAGAGAAAAGAAAGAUACGCUCUUGCCCAGUAAUAUAAUCCCUGCGAAGGACACGAUUCUCCCUUCAUACAAGUUACAGACGCCUCUCUCUCUCUCUCUCUCUCUCUCUCUCUCUGUCUAUCUGUGAUAUAUGAAAUGGAAGUGAAAAACAAGAGCUUGAAACCGGAGGAACCCACUGUUCUUCCGCUGGUUCAGUCUCUCAAUAAAAUAACCUCUCUUGAAGCCAUUACUUGCCUGUUUCGCUCUCCUCUCUCUGACAUGUAAGAACGAGAAAAAAACGACCCAGCGCUUUGUGGAGCGUAAACUCUCUCCGUAUAGUCGUCUGUGCAGCAGACAUAUUUUACCAUUCUUCUCUCUCUCUCUCUCUCUCUCUCUCUCUCUCUCUCUCGCUAGAGUGUACGAAGGACUAGGAGACAGGAAGGGGCCGUCUGCUGUUCUUGGGAUGGUAAUCAAAGCUUAGGAGGAUGGAAUCUAAGAGAUGGGGGGGAGGAACGGAGAGCCCCUCAAGAGGUGAGAGUUUCUCGAAGAAGAGUUUGCACCUGGUUUCCUCGUUCCCUUCUUCUCGGUGUCCCUCUGCCCUCCCCUCGGCAUUUCGCCUUUGCCAUGGCGCCGGAGUUCCUGUAGACGACUGAGGACCCUUAGAAGAAGAUGAUGAUGAUGAUUAUUUGAGGUGGAGAAGAAGACGGGGAAACGUGUGGAAUAGGAGGAGAAGAUGAUGAUGACGACGACGAUGAUGAUUAGAGGCGGAGAAGAUGAGGACAAGAGGGUAGGAGACGAAAGCAAUGCUGAUGAUGAUCGUCAUCCUAAAGAAGAAGAAGAAGAUGGUGGUGAUGAUGAUGAUGAUGAUGAAGAAGAAGAGGAGGAAGAGAAGCUCUUACAGGACGACCAUGGAGGGCCCAAUCAGCGUUUGCCUGCCUCCCAAGCUCGACAACUAAAGCAACAUGAAAGAAGAGAGAGGUUAUGGAAGAGAGAAGAAGAAGAAAUUUCAACAGUAAACGCGCAGGAAGAAAGAGGGGAGAUACCUGCAGGGGGGCGCGCUGUAGAGCCCCCUGGAGCAGCGCAGGAGGACAAAAAGAUGAGUGCCAGGCCGAUGAAGCUCACAGUCGCCAUGGAUGUCUCCCUAUUGCCUUCCCUAAAGUAGAGAGAGAAAGAAAGAGAGGUGGGCUGAAGGGCAACGUAUGUUUGUUAAUCACCAACACGGACACAGAAGGAGAAAAAUGGCCGCAAUAUCUUCCGUUUAGAGAGAGAGAGAGAGAGAGAGAGAGA
This 1605-nucleotide long non-coding RNA is filed under the name Spirodela polyrhiza (greater duckweed). RNAcentral's name for it is "long non-coding RNA (SPOL_LNC002217)". The record is from RNAcentral. Lineage: Eukaryota; Viridiplantae; Streptophyta; Magnoliopsida; Alismatales; Araceae.